AUCCUUUUCAGGUCAUAGGUGUGAUGACUGUGUAUUCACACUGUUGUAUCAGAUGUGCCUCUCUACAAACUUGUUAUAAUGUCAGCACAUUACCCAUCCUAUU
Non-coding RNA from Ictidomys tridecemlineatus (thirteen-lined ground squirrel), 103 nucleotides. The record is from Rfam. Lineage: Eukaryota; Metazoa; Chordata; Mammalia; Rodentia; Sciuridae.